UACAAAUUCAAAGAAACACAAUAAAUCAAACAUUUAAAAAGAUCCCCCACUCUACAAACCCGAUCCUCCAAUGCAUGUUUUGGCUUGUCAUUAACAACGACAACAUACUAGCAAUAUAAAAUUCACGAUCAAUUCACGUUCAUGUUUUUGUUCACUAAAUGUUCUUUCAAUUGUAGGCACGGAACCCCUCAAAAUAAUGCGAUUCACACUUGGCAUUAUUUUAGUUUUACUUUUUUUUCCAUGAUUUUUUCAAUUUUCGCGAAUUACAGUUCUAAAAAAUUAGAAUAAUAUUUUAAACGAUAGGUACGAACUUCGUAUGCUUUAUAAAUCAAUUUCAACAAGAAAUACUACGUAAUAUAGCUAUUAUUUUCAAUUUUGUAAAAUAUACCAGCUCAAAACUCUUCAUUCAUAUAUUUUUACAUCGACACCCUUUUGGUGCUUGCUACUCCCGCGAAAAUUCAAACUAUCCUAAUGUCUAUUUUUGUAUUUUAAAUAAUUUUAUUCCAUAAAUUCGUACAUAUUCUUUCAAAAUAACAUCCCUAUCUCGAAUCCUAAUUAACAAACUCUAAAAUUUCGUAUACCUUUUUAUAAUCUAUGUAUUCCUGUGACGUAAACUGAACAUAUCCUUCAUUCAUUCUCACAGUUAAACAAAACACUUGAAUCAAGUAGUGUGGUUUGUAUUGUUUGGACAAUUAGUGUACUUUUUGUGUUAAAUAUAAUUAUGAAACCUUUCAGAUCGUGUUUAAUACGACUACAGAAUAGUGGGAAACAUAAUGGAAGGAAGACAAAAUAAGAUGCAACGUACGGGUUUUAGCUACAAUAAUUAGUAAGAUUGAAGACUUCUUGACGAUGUUUAUAAUGUAUCCUAUAAAAUAUUCACUCGCCAGAAUCGUCCAAAGAUCCAGGAGGGACAGAUAUCUACUCCAAACCUGGAAUCUGUUGCAGAAUAUUAAAGAAAAUUAUGGGAAAACAAAUGUGAAUGACGGACAGAUUUAGUAAGAUGAAAGAUUUAAGCCUACGAGCACACUACUAUUUCUCACAUCAAAGGUACAUUGUUAAUUAUGAACAUCAAUAGUAAAUAAAG
Molecule: long non-coding RNA, 1084 nt
Filed under: Pectinophora gossypiella (pink bollworm)
Lineage: Eukaryota; Metazoa; Arthropoda; Insecta; Lepidoptera; Gelechiidae
Description: uncharacterized LOC126380854
Source: RNAcentral